RNAcentral lists this ribosomal RNA (497 nucleotides) under uncultured bacterium. Its description in RNAcentral is "partial 16S ribosomal RNA". It matches the Rfam family "Bacterial small subunit ribosomal RNA", at positions 28 to 507 of the family's 1533-position model. The record is from RNAcentral.
GAUGAACGCUGGCGGCGUGCCUAAUACAUGCAAGUCGAGCGAACAGACGAGGAGCUUGCUCCUCUGACGUUAGCGGCGGACGGGUGAGUAACACGUGGAUAACCUACCUAUAAGACUGGGAUAACUUCGGGAAACCGGAGCUAAUACCGGAUAAUAUAUUGAACCGCAUGGUUCAAUAGUGAAAGACGGUUUUGCUGUCACUUAUAGAUGGAUCCGCGCCGCAUUAGCUAGUUGGUAAGGUAACGGCUUACCAAGGCAACGAUGCGUAGCCGACCUGAGAGGGUGAUCGGCCACACGGGAACUGAGACACGGUCCAGACUCCGACGGGAGGCAGCAGUAGGGAAUCUUCCGCAAUGGGCGAAAGCCUGACGGAGCAACGCGGCGUGAGUGAUGAAGGUCUUCGGAUCGUAAAACUCUGUUAUUAGGGAAGAACAAAUGUGUAAGUAACUAUGCACGUCUUGACGGUACCUAAUCAGAAAGCCACGGCUAACUACGUG